Molecule: small RNA, 4303 nt
Filed under: Rattus norvegicus (Norway rat)
Lineage: Eukaryota; Metazoa; Chordata; Mammalia; Rodentia; Muridae
Description: uncharacterized LOC108352583
Source: RNAcentral
CACCAAUGCACAUUGAAAAAAAAAAAAAAAAAAAACAAAGCCCCCAAACUCAAGGCCACAACUGCUCCUUUUUUUGACUUUUCAAAAAUUAUUUACUUAUGUCUAUGAGUCCUCUGUCAUUUACAUAUAGUCCUGCAUGCCAGGAGAGGGAAUCAAAUCAAAUAGAUGUUGUGAGCCACCAUGUGGGUGCUGGGAAUUGAACUCAGGACCUCUGGAAGAACAGCCAGCACUUUUAACCACUGAGUCAUCUCUCUAGGCCCUUUUCUGACUUUAACAUUAGCAUUUCCUGACCAAGAGAAUGCAGAAAAACAUUGUGGAGUUCAGAAGCUACAAGUCUAACCCACUGUGGGUCUAUGCUCCAGUUAUCUGUGAGUGGCUGGAUUGGUACAAAAACAAACAAACAAACAAACAAACCAACCUGUCAUACAUUAGAAUAAUUUGGAGGAUCUCUCUGAAUUUGAGGAAUAUAUAUAUAUAUAAUUUUUCCCCCUACAAAGUUGCAGCCUUUGAUUUUAGACACUGGAUUUGAAUUCUGGCUCUCUGGCUUUAUCCCAGUCAGUCUUCCCCGUUAUUUUGUGUUCUUGGGUGAACCACAAAGACAAAACAGUCCACAGAAAUUCACACAGUGGAAAGUGGGCUUAGGACAGAAACUUCACCCAUACUGAAAGUCGGGAUUCUGUACACCAGGUUAAAGCUCCUCUUAGGCUCUCUUCAAGAGUCAAAGCUAAGUUUUAAGUUUUAAUUACUGAACCUAAGAGAUCCAUAAGACAAAAUGUCUGUAGCCUGGAACCCCCUGGCCCAAGGACACAUAUUUCCUGAAAUACUGGAGGUCAUGGUUUAAGGCAGAUUCCCACCCAAGCGUUUUCACCUCCCUAAACAAGUUUGACCCAACCGCACUUGAUCACUCUAGCUUGGAGGUACGAGUGGGCAGGAAGAAUACUUGCUCCUGAUUGGAUGUAGGUGGGAGGUACACUUACACUUGCCCCUCAUUGGAGCUGAGGGGAAAUAUAGAGGUCUUACAGUUUAACCUUUUUAAGCCUCUGCAAAAUGUGACUCCAGGCCAUUUCCCCGGGAAUCCUGGAAGGGUCUGGGCCAGGUCCAUUAUUUAACUAAAGCUUGCUUCAAAUUUGUCUUAAAAAUUGUGAAACUGGCCUUUCUCUCUCAACUCUCAGGCUUAACAACUCUUGCUUACAUUAUUAAUUUACAAAACUUCAGGACAGCCAGGCUCAGACAGGUCUGGAGAAACGUGGCUAGUACCCUGGCAGUACAGUUAACAAGGCUGCUGCCCUGGUGGCUGACGUCACUCAUAACACCCCUCCCUCCACCCUGGCGUGGGGAGGGGAAGCACCAGCAAGUAGAGAGAAGCAGCCCUAGCCAUGGAAAAGUGUCGUGAAAUGAUGUCUCAGGCUUAGCGAUCAGUCCCAACAGGAUUUGCCACUGCCCAAUGCCAGAUUCCCUGCUGAGCAAGCAGAGCUCUAUCUAAAAGAAUGGUAAUGGAAGGGCCGUGUCACCGGGUGGAGGCAAGGGCUUUGGCUUAGAAUACUGGUUCAAACUCACAGGGGUAGCUGGUUGUGCCACCACUCGGAGGGAGAACAAGAGAUGUUACCCAAUAUCUUGGAGUCUCAGUUUCUUCCUUGAGAGGAGGAUUGACCAAACAAACUACUUUCCAAUGGGUGUGUUCAAUGGAGAUGUUCUUGGGAACUGGAAGGAUGCCAUUUUCCUAAGACAGGAUUGCAUUUGGAUUCUUUUUUUUAAAGGAGAAAAUAUAAGAACAAACAAUGCAGACCUGGUGUCCAUACAGGUAAGCUGAGGGACUCUUCCUGUGCUCUCAGAUAUGGUGGCCCGUGUAUGACUACCCACACAGAGUCAGGACACCAGGUUAGUGAGCCAAGAGCCAGCUUACUUUUCAAGAGACCAGGGGUGGGUGGGUGCGUUGAGUGGGGACUUCUAAAAAGUUCCUCUUUCUCUCUAUCCUACUCAAAACCAAGGACUGCACAUCCCUUUAAGGCAGCAGAAGACUUGUGUGACGGCCUGUAACUGAACCAGUGGGAAGAGGAGGAAUUUUGAGAGAUGACAGAUACCAUGCAUUGAGGACGUAGAACCUGAAGCCUUCAGGACGGGCUGCGAUUGAUUACAGGAAUGAGCUGACUUCCUGGUUCAGGGACCGCCCAGCUGGUAAAGGAAAUGCAGAUUCUGGCCAUGUGCUGAUGGCCACCAGGAAGACUGCUGUUCAGAGCGUGUAACAGACACUCAUUCAUGCUAGAAGAAAUCCCAGCUGCCCACUCUUUUGGGAAUGAGAGGUUCGAGCCACAAACUGCACAAUGGAAGCAUGACUUGGGAGUCUUACUGAAUUCUCCUCCAGUGGCCAGGAAGAACAGCCUUUGCUAAUUACCUAGAGGAGUUCACAGGCCUCCGGAGACACGGACACAUACACCAUGAGAGGCAUGACACGCACGUAAGCACAUCCUGUGAUCAGCAUCACCACCUUUUGGCCCACAGCAGUGUUCAGACCUGUCGGCACCUGAAACCUUCCCUCCAAGUGUUACUGGCUUCCUGAGCCAACUGCAAGAUCAGACUGAUUUUGGCAAAAGCGAAGCGUUUGGGGGAGGUUCCCCAUUCUUUCAUCUGACCUGUAGAGCCACUUCUUGGCAGCAUCUACCCCCUUCCCACAGCAGGGCCUCCCGACCGUGGCUGUCCCCUGGCAGGGUGUGCGCUCCCUUCAGGUGGCUGUCACCCUUUCUGGGCUCAGGCACCUCCACCAGCUGCUCCAGCUGUGUUUGCCCUGUGUAUACUGGGAAGGUUUUAUGGGCCUAUUACACCCUAGGCCAUCCUUGACCCUGGAUCUAAGACUGUUCUUUCAUUCCAAAUGACAACAGUGCCUAGGUUUUCCCUGACAAGAAACAAACCGAACCCUGGUUCAAACAACACAAAACUAUCUUCCAAGUCGACAGCAGGUGGACCAAUGAGAAGACGGCUGUGACAGCUGGAAGGAGCACUCGCUGUUCUCAUGAGCUCUCAGGCUGCUCACCUGUGAACAGCUGGACACUCGAGGUAAGUUUCCCACGCGCCGACAGGCACUACAAUGUCUGCACUUAGCUCUGCAGAAUGAACCCAUGAAUAGACGCCCUUCUCCUAGGGAUUUAAACCAUGUUUUAUAUUUAAAUCUUGCAAUGUUGAACAGCAUCCUUGUCUUAUUUCUAUUGCUGCCCUGACCAAAAGCAACACUGAGGAGAAGAGGUCUAAUAAGACUCAGAACUCCAGUUUACAGUCCAUUGUGGGGGAAGCCAAGACAGGAACCUGAGGCAUCAUGGACCCAUAACAAAUUCAAGCAUCAGUUUUUAUCUACAAAAUGUGACAGUAAUACACACACACACACACACACACACACACACACACACACACAGAGAGAGAGAGAGAGAGAGAGAGAAACAAGUGUGCAUGGAGAUGCUGAGGUGAGAGUAAGUCAGAACUGGAGUUGGGGAGUAUCUCAGUGGUACCAGGUGAGCAUGCAGGGAGCCUCGGGCUCCACCCCCACUGCUGCAAACUAGAAUUAAAGAAAAUAGCUGGACAGCAAACAGUGAAAAGGAUUCUCAGUAAAUGCCCCCUGUUUUAAAUUUAGCUAUUGGAGUUAACCUUUAGAUACUGCAUUUAUCUAAAGGUUAUAUAAAAGCACAUUCUUUGGUUUAGAUAAAGCUCAGUAAAAUUCCGGGAUGUUAGUCUCAUUCUAUUAACCAAGACUCCAGUCUAGUACUGGGCCUGCUCAGGUUGGGGAACACAGAAAUCAGUCAUGGAUCUCUCUUAGGGAGUUACCACCUCAGGGGAAGCUAGUUCUACAACUGAAUCAGAGCCACGUGGGACAUACUCAUUGGGAAAGUGGUUCCUGACCUGCUGUGGCUGCAGCAGAGAAGGCGGCAGAAGCCUCCAGACCUGGAUGAGGAACAGAGCUGAAACCGACAAGAACUGCAGUGAAGCCCCUGCACCAUCUCCUGGCCUUUGAAGGCUCCAGAGCCCAGCCUUCCUACUGCGCAGUUAGUGGCUCUCCUGAAGAAUAGACAGAGUUGCCAAGAGUUACAGUCGCCCCACGCAAGGUCAGAAAAGGAGAAAAAAAAGAAUACUUAUCGGUGACAUUGGGAGUGUGAAGGUUUGCCAAUCCCGCAGAAGAUUCACUCCUUAGCAAUACAGCUGACAUUCUAAAAACAUCUUUCCAUUUUACACUGCAUUUUCUCCAGUGACACUUUUGAUUUUAUCAGUAGCACAGGAUGUUACGUACUAGAGACAAACUGCCCACCACCAAGCCACAGUA